This 519-nucleotide ribosomal RNA is filed under the name Klebsiella pneumoniae. RNAcentral's name for it is "partial 23S ribosomal RNA". It matches the Rfam family "Bacterial large subunit ribosomal RNA", at positions 2261 to 2779 of the family's 2925-position model. RNAcentral also lists the same sequence under 2 other names. The record is from RNAcentral. Lineage: Bacteria; Pseudomonadati; Pseudomonadota; Gammaproteobacteria; Enterobacterales; Enterobacteriaceae.
GUGGGUAGUUUGACUGGGGCGGUCUCCUCCCAAAGCGUAACGGAGGAGCACGAAGGUUAGCUAAUCCUGGUCGGACAUCAGGAGGUUAGUGCAAUGGCAUAAGCUAGCUUGACUGCGAGCGUGACGGCGCGAGCAGGUGCGAAAGCAGGUCAUAGUGAUCCGGUGGUUCUGAAUGGAAGGGCCAUCGCUCAACGGAUAAAAGGUACUCCGGGGAUAACAGGCUGAUACCGCCCAAGAGUUCAUAUCGACGGCGGUGUUUGGCACCUCGAUGUCGGCUCAUCACAUCCUGGGGCUGAAGUAGGUCCCAAGGGUAUGGCUGUUCGCCAUUUAAAGUGGUACGCGAGCUGGGUUUAGAACGUCGUGAGACAGUUCGGUCCCUAUCUGCCGUGGGCGCUGGAGAAUUGAGGGGGGCUGCUCCUAGUACGAGAGGACCGGAGUGGACGCAUCACUGGUGUUCGGGUUGUCAUGCCAAUGGCACUGCCCGGUAGCUAAAUGCGGAAGAGAUAAGUGCUGAAAGCA